UACAGAGGUGGCAAGCGUUGUUCGGAAUUACUGGGCGUAAAGGGCUCGUAGGCGGCCAACUAAGUCAGACGUGAAAUCCCUCGGCUUAACCGGGGAACUGCCUCUGAUACUGGAUGGCUUGAGAUUGGGAGAGGGAUGCGGAAUUCCAGGUGUAGCGGUGAAAUGCGUAGAUAUCUGGAGGAACACCGGUGGCGAAGGCGGCAUCCUGGACCAACACUGACGCUGAGGAGCGAAAGCCAGGGGAGCAAACGGG
This 253-nucleotide ribosomal RNA is filed under the name uncultured bacterium. RNAcentral describes it as "partial 16S ribosomal RNA". It matches the Rfam family "Bacterial small subunit ribosomal RNA", at positions 524 to 776 of the family's 1533-position model. The record is from RNAcentral.